GAUGAACGCUGGCGGCGUGCCUAAUACAUGCAAGUCGAGCGAACAGACGAGGAGCUUGCUCCUCUGACGUUAGCGGCGGACGGGUGAGUAACACGUGGAUAACCUACCUAUCAGAGUGGGAUAACUUCGGGAAACCGGAGCUAAUACCGGAUAAUAUAUUGAACCGCAGGGUUCAAUAGUGAAAGACGGUUUUGCUGUCACUUAUAGAUGGAUCCGCGCCGCAUUAGCUGGUUGGUCAGGUAACGGCUUACCAAGGCAACGAUGCGUAGCCGACCUGAGGGGCGGAUCGGCCACACGGGAACGUAGACACCGACCAGACUCCUAAGGGACGCACCAGUAGGGAACCUGCCGCAAUGGGCGAAAACAUGACGGAGCAACGCCGCGUGAGAUAUGAAGGUCCUCCGAUCGUAAAACCCUGUUAUUAGGUAAGAACAACUGUGUAAGUAACUAUGCACGUCUUGACGGUACCUAAUAAGAAAGCCCCGGCUAACUACGUG
RNAcentral lists this ribosomal RNA (497 nucleotides) under uncultured bacterium. Its description in RNAcentral is "partial 16S ribosomal RNA". It matches the Rfam family "Bacterial small subunit ribosomal RNA", at positions 28 to 507 of the family's 1533-position model. The record is from RNAcentral.